AUGUUAACAAAGACAGGAUUCACCUACAGAUUGGAACAAUACAGAGGCCAUCAGCACAGUCCCUGUGCAAGGAUGACAAUACAAAUGCAUAAUGUGUCCCAUGUCUUU
Ictidomys tridecemlineatus (thirteen-lined ground squirrel) is the source of this 108-nucleotide small nuclear RNA. Lineage: Eukaryota; Metazoa; Chordata; Mammalia; Rodentia; Sciuridae. The record is from Ensembl.